GUGCCAGCCGCCGCGGUAAUACGUAGGGCGCAAGCGUUGUCCGGAUUUAUUGGGCGUAAAGAGCUCGUAGGCGGUUUGUCGCGUCUUCCGUGAAAACUGGGGGCUUAACUUCCAGCUUGCGGUGGAUACGGGCUGACUGGAGUGCGGCAGGGGAGACUGGAAUUCCUGGUGUAGCGGUGAAAUGCGCAGAUAUCAGGAGGAACACCGGUGGCGAAGGCGGGUCUCUGGGCCGUUACUGACGCUGAGGAGCGAAAGCGUGGGGAGCGAACAGGAUUAGAAACCCGCGUAGUCC
This 292-nucleotide ribosomal RNA is filed under the name uncultured bacterium. RNAcentral's name for it is "partial 16S ribosomal RNA". It matches the Rfam family "Bacterial small subunit ribosomal RNA", at positions 505 to 796 of the family's 1533-position model. The record is from RNAcentral.